RNAcentral lists this ribosomal RNA (442 nucleotides) under Pocobletus sp. LB2014b. RNAcentral describes it as "partial 16S ribosomal RNA". Lineage: Eukaryota; Metazoa; Arthropoda; Arachnida; Araneae; Linyphiidae. The record is from RNAcentral.
UUUUUAUAAAUAUUUAUAAAUAAAAUCUGCUCAAUGAAAUUUAAAUAGCCGCAGAAUUUUUACUGUGCUAAGGUAGCAUAAUCAUUAGUCUUUUAAUUAAAGACUUGUAUGAAAGAUUUAACAUUUCAAUUCCUUUUUUUUUUUAAUAAUAUAUUAAAAUUUAAUUAAAUAUAAAAAUGUAUUUAUUUAUAAAUUAGACGAUAAGACCCUAUUAAACUUUACUUUAGUUUAGCUGGGGAAGCUAAUUAAUUAUUAUUUUAAUUAUUAUAAAUCCACAAAAAACUAUUAAAUAUAAUUUUAAUAAGUUACUAUAGGGAUAACAGCAUAAUAUUUUUUAAAAGCUCUUAUUUAAAAAAAAGUUUAUGACCUCGAUGUUGAAUUAAUAAUUCUUUAAAAUGCAAUAAUUUUAAAAGAAAGUCUGUUCGACUUUUAAAUAAUUACA